CCCUUAGAUGUUCUGGGCCGCACGCGCGCUACACUGACGAAUGCAACGAGCUUAUAACCUUGGCCGAAAGGUCUGGGUAAUCUCCAAAUUUCGUCGUGAUGGGGAUAGAUUAUUGCAAUUAUUAAUCUUCAACGAGGAAUGCCUAGUAAGCGCAAGUCAUCAGCUUGCGUUGAUUACGUCCCUGCCCUUUGUACACACCGCCCGUCGCUCCCACCGAUUGAAUGGUCCGGUGAAGCGUUCGGACCGUGGCCUUUGGACGGUUCGCCGUCUGUUGGCUGCGGGAAGUUCGUUAAACCUUAUCAUUUAGAGGAAGGAGAAGUCGUANCA
Molecule: ribosomal RNA, 327 nt
Filed under: uncultured eukaryote
Lineage: Eukaryota
Description: partial 18S ribosomal RNA
Rfam family: Eukaryotic small subunit ribosomal RNA
Source: RNAcentral